Molecule: ribosomal RNA, 496 nt
Filed under: uncultured bacterium
Lineage: Bacteria
Description: partial 16S ribosomal RNA
Rfam family: Bacterial small subunit ribosomal RNA
Source: RNAcentral
AUGAACGCUGGCGGCGUGCCUAAUACAUGCAAGUCGAGCGAACAGACGAGGAACUUGCUCCUCUGACGUUAGCGGCGGACGGGUGAGUAACACGUGGAUAACCUACCUAUAAGACUGGGAUAACUUCGGGAAACCGGAGCUAAUACCGGAUAAUAUAUUGAACCGCAUGGUUCAAUAGUGAAAGACGGUUUUGCUGUCACUUAUAGAUGGAUCCGCGCCGCAUUAGCUAGUUGGUAAGGUAACGGCUUACCAAGGCAACGAUGCGUAGCCGACCUGAGAGGGUGAUCGGCCACACUGGAACUGAGACACGGUCCAGACUCCUACGGGAGGCAGCAGUAGGGAAUCUUCCGCAAAGGGCGAAAGCCUGACGGAGCAACGCCGCGUGAGUGAUGAAGGUCUUCGGAUCGUAAAACUCUGUUAUUAGGGAAGAACAAAUGUGUAAGUAACUAUGCACGUCUUGACGGUACCUAAUCAGAAAGCCACGGCUAACUACGUG